This 206-nucleotide ribosomal RNA is filed under the name uncultured bacterium. Its description in RNAcentral is "partial 16S ribosomal RNA". It matches the Rfam family "Bacterial small subunit ribosomal RNA", at positions 568 to 774 of the family's 1533-position model. The record is from RNAcentral.
UGCGUAGGCGGGUUUUUAAGUCAGAGGUGAAAUCCUGGAGCUCAACUCCAGAACUGCCUUUGAUACUGGAAAUCUUGAGUAUGGGAGAGGUGAGUGGAACUGCGAGUGUAGAGGUGAAAUUCGGAGAUAUUCGCAAGAACACCAGUGGCGAAGGCGGCUCACUGGCCCAUAACUGACGCUGAGGCACGAAAGCGUGGGAGCAAACA